GGGCCCUUGGUGUAGCUCGGAAGCACCCGUCGCUUGGAACGACGAGGGGCCGUUCGAAUCGGCUAGGGCCCA
RNAcentral lists this transfer RNA (72 nucleotides) under Euryarchaeota archaeon RBG_16_68_12. Its description in RNAcentral is "tRNA-Pro". Lineage: Archaea; Methanobacteriati; Methanobacteriota. RNAcentral also lists the same sequence under 1 other name. The record is from RNAcentral.